GAUUAGGGCUGCAUGUGUUUGGUGUCUUUAACAUCCUUACUUAGGCUGUCAUUAACAGGAUUUAUGGAUGAGUUAUGUGUAAUAAAAAUAAGAAAUUCUCUUAUCUGCAAUCGUCUAGUGAGCUAGAGCUUUUAAAUAUAAGCCUCCUGGAUGAAAUCAGCUAGUUGUGUUGCACUGCUGACAUUUCAGUCCCUAUAAAAGGGGCAGCAGUCCUUUUUGGCAAGUAGAAAACAUUACCAUUACAUGUGUCAAGAUGGCUCGUCAAGGCUACUUCAAACGGACGGCAUCCUCGAUGGUUCCAAUUUCCAGCCCAUUCCCCAAUUUUCAACCCCAAUGACAGACAACACACGCUGGAAUGGCUGUUUAGCUAAAGAAGGGAAUUGAGCACCCCAUUUCCAUAUCAAUCGGAUUAGUUCCAAGACCAGGGAAGUAGGAGUAAUGUAAGUAACCGUACAAAUUUAAAUAUAGGACAUCAAAAACAUUGUUAGGCAUUCAUUUAUUUUUGAAGCAGCCCUGGCCCUCUGUUUGUCUCUGUGAAGAUGAGAUGAAAAUGUAUCUCUUCAAUUUUAUUUUCAUUUUAUUUUGAAAGGCGCUCAACGGCACCCGUAUUUGAACGUUUCAUGUGCACCGUGGCACCCCGCUGCUCUUGUAUGCUUAACCUCUUUUGUGAAGCGAGUAUGUCACAUCAAGCAAUGCACUUGUUCAGAAUGCAACACCAAAACAAUUUCAGGUGGGCAGCGUUCACACAGGCUUUUGAACGUUUCUGCAGGAGCGGACAGUAAAGUGUUUGGCUGUGGACUCCUGUCGUGCUGAAACCAUUUUGUACUUCACAGUUAUGCUUACACAUUUCAUUCGCCGUGGAUGUAAACAUAUGUGUUUCAGCUGUGUAUGUUU
Acanthochromis polyacanthus (spiny chromis) is the source of this 894-nucleotide long non-coding RNA. RefSeq lists it as uncharacterized. NCBI's taxonomy places the organism in Eukaryota, Metazoa, Chordata, Actinopteri, Pomacentridae. The transcript is spliced from 3 exons. The record is from RefSeq and is a predicted model, not a curated record.